RNAcentral lists this transfer RNA (78 nucleotides) under Microrhizoidea pickettheapsiorum. Its description in RNAcentral is "tRNA-Pro". It matches the Rfam family "tRNA". Rfam says of the family: Transfer RNA (tRNA) molecules are approximately 80 nucleotides in length. Lineage: Eukaryota; Viridiplantae; Chlorophyta; Mamiellophyceae; Dolichomastigales. The record is from RNAcentral.
UCGGAGUGUAGUGCAGUUUGGUAGCACAUAUCAUUUGGGAUGAUAAGGUCGCAGGUUCAAAUCCUGUCUCUCCGAACC